Molecule: ribosomal RNA, 253 nt
Filed under: uncultured bacterium
Lineage: Bacteria
Description: partial 16S ribosomal RNA
Rfam family: Bacterial small subunit ribosomal RNA
Source: RNAcentral
UACGGGGGGGGCAAGCGUUGUUCGGAAUUACUGGGCGUAAAGGGUUCGUAGGUGGCCAACUAAGUCAAACGUGAAAUCCCUCAGCUUAACUGGGGAACUGCGUCUGAUACUGGUUGGCUUGAGUGCAGGAGAGGAACGCGGAAUUCCAGGUGUAGCGGUGAAAUGCGUAGAUAUCUGGAGGAACACCGGUGGCGAAGGCGGCGUUCUGGACUGCAACUGACACUGAUGAGCGAAAGCCAGGGGAGCAAACGGG